CCCUUAGAUGUCCUGGGCCGCACGCGCGUUACACUGAUGCAUUCAACGAGCUUAUAACCUUGGCCGAGAGGCCUGGGCAAUCUUGUUAACGUGCAUCGUGAUAGGGAUAGAUUAUUGAAAUUAUUAAUCUUGAACGAGGGAUUCCUAGUAAACGCAGAUCAUCAAUCUGCAUUGAUUACGUCCCUGCCCUUUGUACACACCGCCCGUCGCUCCUACCGAUUGGGUGUGCUGGUGAAAUGUUCGGAUCGGCCGUUUGUCGCGGUUUCCGCGUCAUGUGGCUGAGAAGUUCAUUAAACCCUCCCACCUAGAGGAAGGAGAAGUCGUAACA
RNAcentral lists this ribosomal RNA (328 nucleotides) under uncultured eukaryote. RNAcentral describes it as "partial 18S ribosomal RNA". It matches the Rfam family "Eukaryotic small subunit ribosomal RNA", at positions 1470 to 1796 of the family's 1831-position model. The record is from RNAcentral.